AGCUCAGAUUGAACGCUGGCGGCAGGCCUAACACAUGCAAGUCGAGCGGUAGCACAGAGAGCUUGCUCUCGGGUGACGAGCGGCGGACGGGUGAGUAAUGUCUGGGAAACUGCCUGAUGGAGGGGGAUAACUACUGGAAACGGUAGCUAAUACCGCAUAACGUCGCAAGACCAAAGUGGGGGACCUUCGGGCCUCAUGCCAUCAGAUGUGCCCAGAUGGGAUUAGCUAGUAGGUGGGGUAAUGGCUCACCUAGGCGACGAUCCCUAGCUGGUCUGAGAGGAUGACCAGCCACACUGGAACUGAGACACGGUCCAGACUCCUACGGGAGGCAGCAGUGGGGAAUAUUGCACAAUGGGCGCAAGCCUGAUGCAGCCAUGCCGCGUGUAUGAAGAAGGCCUUCGGGUUGUAAAGUACUUUCAGCGAGGAGGAAGGCGUUAAGGUUAAUAACCUUGGCGAUUGACGUUACUCGCAGAAGAAGCACCGGCUAACUCCGUGCCAGCAGCCGCGGUAAUACGGAGGGUGCAAGCGUUAAUCGGAAUUACUGGGCGUAAAGCGCACGCAGGCGGUCUGUCAAGUCGGAUGUGAAAUCCCCGGGCUCAACCUGGGAACUGCAUUCGAAACUGGCAGGCUAGAGUCUUGUAGAGGGGGGUAGAAUUCCAGGUGUAGCGGUGAAAUGCGUAGAGAUCUGGAGGAAUACCGGUGGCGAAGGCGGCCCCCUGGACAAAGACUGACGCUCAGGUGCGAAAGCGUGGGGAGCAAACAGGAUUAGAUACCCUGGUAGUCCACGCCGUAAACGAUGUCGACUUGGAGGUUGUGCCCUUGAGGCGUGGCUUCCGGAGCUAACGCGUUAAGUCGACCGCCUGGGGAGUACGGCCGCAAGGUUAAAACUCAAAUGAAUUGACGGGGGCCCGCACAAGCGGUGGAGCAUGUGGUUUAAUUCGAUGCAACGCGAAGAACCUUACCUACUCUUGACAUCCAGAGAACUUAGCAGAGAUGCUUUGGUGCCUUCGGGAACUCUGAGACAGGUGCUGCAUGGCUGUCGUCAGCUCGUGUUGUGAAAUGUUGGGUUAAGUCCCGCAACGAGCGCAACCCUUAUCCUUUGUUGCCAGCGAUUAGGUCGGGAACUCAAAGGAGACUGCCAGUGAUAAACUGGAGGAAGGUGGGGAUGACGUCAAGUCAUCAUGGCCCUUACGAGUAGGGCUACACACGUGCUACAAUGGCAUAUACAAAGAGAAGCGACCUCGCGAGAGCAAGCGGACCUCAUAAAGUAUGUCGUAGUCCGGAUUGGAGUCUGCAACUCGACUCCAUGAAGUCGGAAUCGCUAGUAAUCGUAGAUCAGAAUGCUACGGUGAAUACGUUCCCGGGCCUUGUACACACCGCCCGUCACACCAUGGGAGUGGGUUGCAAAAGAAGUAGGUAGCUUAACCUUCGGGAGGGCGCUUACCACUUUGUGAUUCAUGACUGGGGUGAAGUCGUAACAAGGUAACCGUAGGGGAACCUGCGGCUGGAUA
Molecule: ribosomal RNA, 1511 nt
Filed under: Klebsiella sp.
Lineage: Bacteria; Pseudomonadati; Pseudomonadota; Gammaproteobacteria; Enterobacterales; Enterobacteriaceae
Description: bacterial SSU rRNA
Rfam family: Bacterial small subunit ribosomal RNA
Source: RNAcentral